This 466-nucleotide ribosomal RNA is filed under the name uncultured bacterium. RNAcentral's name for it is "bacterial SSU rRNA". It matches the Rfam family "Bacterial small subunit ribosomal RNA", at positions 355 to 825 of the family's 1533-position model. The record is from RNAcentral.
UAGGGAAUAUUGGACAAUGGGUGAGAGCCUGAUCCAGCCAUGCCGCGUGCAGGAAGAAGGCCUUCUGGGUUGUAAACUGCUUUUUGCCGGGGGAUAAAAGGCCCCUGCGGGGGACAUUGAAGGUACCCGGUGAAUAAGCCACGGCUAACUACGUGCCAGCAGCCGCGGUAAUACGUAGGUGGCAAGCGUUGUCCGGAUUUAUUGGGUUUAAAGGGUGCGUAGGCGGCCCCGUAAGUCAGUGGUGAAAUACGGCAGCUCAACUGUCGAGGUGCCAUUGAUACUGCGGGGCUUGAGUAUGGACGAGGUAAGCGGAAUUGACGGUGUAGCGGUGAAAUGCUUAGAUAUCGUCAAGAACACCGAUAGCGAAGGCAGCUUACUAGGCCAUAACUGACGCUGAGGCACGAAGGUGCGGGGAUCAAACAGGAUUAGAUACCAGGUAGUCCCUGAGCGGGCUGGCAAGGCGCAU